RNAcentral lists this unclassified non-coding RNA (238 nucleotides) under soil metagenome. RNAcentral's name for it is "partial internal transcribed spacer 1". The record is from RNAcentral.
ACCCCGAGUUAGUGAAAGCACUGCGGCAAGCGACGAUGGGCGGCUACGCACUCGUGGGCGAUCAGCUCAAGGCGCGUCUCGUCGCAAACGGCGAGCGCGUGGGGCCGGCUAAACCGGGCCCCAAGAGCAAGAGUGUCCCUGAGGAAGAGCAGGCCUCUGCGGACCUAUUCGGUGAAUUAGCGCCCUGACCCCGAAUUAUUUUUUGAAGUCGCCGGCCAUCACCAGGCUGACCUUCGCC